GUCCACGCCGUAAACGAUGGGUACUAGGCGUCGGGGGGAGCGACCCUCUCGGUGCCGUCGCUAACGCAAUAAGUACCCCGCCUGGGGAGUACGGCCGCAAGGCUGAAACUCAAAGGAAUUGACGGGGGCCCGCACAAGCGGUGGAGCAUGUGGUUCAAUUCGAAGCAACGCGAAGAACCUUACCUGGGCUUGACAUGCACGGGAAAGCCGGUGGAAACAUCGGCCCCCUCUUCGGAGUCCGUGCACAGGUGCUGCAUGGCUGUCGU
Molecule: ribosomal RNA, 266 nt
Filed under: uncultured bacterium
Lineage: Bacteria
Description: partial 16S ribosomal RNA
Rfam family: Bacterial small subunit ribosomal RNA
Source: RNAcentral